RNAcentral lists this ribosomal RNA (433 nucleotides) under uncultured bacterium. RNAcentral's name for it is "partial 16S ribosomal RNA". It matches the Rfam family "Bacterial small subunit ribosomal RNA", at positions 29 to 507 of the family's 1533-position model. The record is from RNAcentral.
AACGAACGCUGGCGGCAGGCCUAACACAUGCAAGUCGAGCGAGGACUUCGGUCCUAGCGGCGGACGGGUGAGUAACGCGUGGGAACGUGCCCUUUGCUUCGGAAUAGCCCUGGGAAACUGGGAGUAAUACCGGAUGAGCCCUUUGGGGGAAAGAUUUAUCGGCGAAGGAUCGGCCCGCGUUGGAUUAGGUAGUUGGUGGGGUAAUGGCCUACCAAGCCGACGAUCCAUAGCUGGUUUGAGAGGAUGAUCAGCCACACUGGGACUGAGACACGGCCCAGACUCCUACGGGAGGCAGGAGUGGGGAAUCUUAGACAAGGGGGGAAACCAUGAACGAGCCAGGCCGGGUGAGCGAUGAAGGCAUUAGGGUUGUAAAGCGCUAUCAGCUGGGAAGAUAAUGACGGUACCAGAAGAAGAAGCCCCGGCUAACUCCGUG